Molecule: non-coding RNA, 2886 nt
Organism: Prunus avium (sweet cherry)
Lineage: Eukaryota; Viridiplantae; Streptophyta; Magnoliopsida; Rosales; Rosaceae
Source: RefSeq, a predicted model, not a curated record
GCCAUGGCACAAAACACAACCAUCCCAAUCAAUGUGGGGGUGGUUCUUGACUUAGAUUCCCGGUUAGGGAAAAUAGGGUUGAGCUGCAUCAACAUGGCCCUCUCUGACUUCUAUGCCUCUCAUUCUAACUACAAUACUAGACUGGUCCUGCACACAAGGGACUCCACGAGAGAUGUUGUUGUUGCAGCUGAUGCAGCGCUAGACUUAAUAAAGAAUGUUGAAGUGCAAGCCAUCAUAGGGCUAAAAUCAUCAAAGCAAGCCAACUUUGUAAUUGAUCUUGGAGAGAAAGCUCAGGUGCCCAUAAUCUCAUUUUCAGCAACAAGCCCUUCUCUUCGGGGUUCAUAUUUUUUCCGAAUUGCACAGAAUGACUCAUCUCAGGUUAGAGCCAUAAGUACCAUCAUCCAAGCCUUUGGUUGGAGUGAGGCAGUGCCCAUCAGCGUGGACGAUGAGUUCGGGGAGGGAGUGAUACCUUACCUGACUACUGCUUUGCAAGAAGUAGGUGCCCGUACCCCUUAUUGGAGUGUCAUUCCUUCAAAGGCUACUGAUGACCAAAUUGUUGCAGAGCUGUACAGGUUGAUGUCAAUGCAAACCAGGGUCUUCAUAGUGCACAUGUUGCCUUCUCUAGGCUCUCGGUUUUUUGCCAAGGCAAAAGACAUUGGCAUGAUGGAGGAAGGUAAUGUUUGGAUAACGACGAAUGGGAUGGCUAACUCUUUUAGUACCUCCAGCUCUUCUGUCGACAUAGAUAACAUGCAAGGGGUGUUAGGUUUAAAGACUUAUGUUCCAAACACAAAAGAGCUUGAAAAUUUUAGAGCUAGAUGGCAAACCAAAUUCCAACAAGACAAUCCAACUAUCCUUAACGUUAAAUUGGAUGUUUUUGGACUUUGGGCUUAUGAUGCUGCUUGGGCAUUAGCCCUGGCAGUUGAGAAGGUUGGGGGUACAAACUUCAGCUUCCAAAAGAUGAACAGUUCUCAUAAUUCCACUGAUCUGGGAAGCUUAGAGGUCUCUCAAGGCGGUCCUGAACUUGUCCGAGAGCUAUCAAGUACAAGAUUCAGAGGCAUUUCAGGAGAUUUCAGUCUUAUUAAUGGGCAACUACAAUCAUCAACUUUUCAGGUAGUUAAUGUGAACGAUAAUGGGGAAAGAGGAAUUGGAUAUUGGACACCCCAAAAUGGACUUGUGAGGAACAUAAUUUCAACUAGCUAGAAACACAAGCAGAUACUCUACUUCUAAUGCCAGUCUUGGACCUAUUAUAUGGCCUGGAGACACCACCUUGGCUCCAAGGGGCUGGCAGAUUAACCCGAAAGGGACCAUAAAAGUUCUGGUCCCGGUGAAGGCAGGGUUUGAAGAAUUUGUAACUGUGAGACAUGAUUUUAGCACUAACACAACCAAGGUCGCUGGAUACUGCAUAGAAGUCUUUGACGCUGUAAUAAAAGCAUUACCAUAUCAUGUUCCUUAUGAGUUUUAUCCCUUUGCAAAACCUAAUGGGAAGAUUGCUGGCCGGUACAAUGAUUUGGUCAAUCAAGUGUUUCUUGGGAACUACGAUGCAGCAGUUGGAGACAUAACUAUUAGAGCAAACAGAUCCUUGUAUGUUGACUUCACAUUGCCAUUCACAGAAUCUGGAAUAUCAAUGGUGGUGCCUAUCAAAGGCAAACAUGACGCUAAAAGCACAUGGGUGUUCUUGAAGCCUUUGACAUGGGAUCUUUGGGUUACAAGCUGCGGUUUUUUCAUAUUCAUUGGUUUUGUGGUCUGGUUUCUUGAACAUCCGAUAAACGAAGACUUUCGUGGGUCUCCACAUCACCAAAUUGGCACAAGCUUUUGGUUCGCCUUCUCAACCAUGGUUUUUGCACACCGGGAACGAGUAGUGAGCAACUUGGGUAGGUUUGUAGUGAUCAUAUGGUGCUUUGUUGUCCUCGUACUGACUCAAAGCUACACUGCCAGUUUAUCAUCAAUCUUAACAAUUCAACAGCUCCAACCAAUAGUUACUGAUGUGAAUCUUCUCUUGAAGAAUGGGGACAAUGUUGGCUACCAAGCAGGUUCUUUUAUUUAUGAGAUUUUGAGCCAGCUAGGAUUUCAGGAUGAUAAACUUAGAACUUAUAGGUCCGCAGAAGAAUUGGAUGAACUUCUUCGAAACGGGAAUGAAAAUGGAGGUAUUUCUGUAGCGUUUGAUGAAACCCCCUACAUGAAACUUUUUCUUGCAACCUAUUGCUCAAAAUAUACCCUUGUUGAGCCAACAUUCAAAGCCGAUGGUUUUGCCUUUGUCUUCCAAAAAGGUUCACUUCUGACACUAGAUGUUUCAACGGCAAUCACUCAAGUGCACGAGGGAGAUAAAAUGAAGGCCAUCGAGGCCAAGUGGUUCAAGAAAAAAGCAAGCUGUUCAAACCCCAACACCGCUGGCUCUUAUGACACUCUUAGCCUUGAUAGCUUCUGGGGCCUCUUCAUUGUUGCUGGUGUUGCUUCAUCACUAUCUCUCCUCAUAUAUGUAGCUAUGUUCCUCUAUGAGCAUGGCCACAUCUUGACAUGCGUUGAUUCAAAAGCCUCAUUUCGGACAAGAAUCCGUGAAGUACUAAGAGCAUAUGAUCAAGAAGGCAAGAAAAGCAAAAAAGAUGUUCAAGGAAUCGCUGCGGUUGAAUCUUCACCGAACACCAACUGUCUCUGCCUCAGAAGGCCAUCAAGAUCAAGGCACCCAAAUAAGAUUGUACCAGAAAUCGUUCUUGAAGAGGAAGGAACAACUUGUACUCAGCAUAGUGAGUUGAAUCCGAAUGUUCAAGCAACCCAAGAAAUUGAAUGUGCUAUCUAGUUAACGGCUAUGACAUAAACCAUGGAAUCUUGCUGUGGUUUGUUUGAAGCUUAAUUUGUAGUUUAAAUCUUUAUUGUGUAGUAUAUAAGAUG